Molecule: ribosomal RNA, 583 nt
Filed under: marine bacterium NC15
Lineage: Bacteria
Description: bacterial SSU rRNA
Rfam family: Bacterial small subunit ribosomal RNA
Source: RNAcentral
AUGAUCCUGUACAGGGGGGUAGAAUUUCAGUGGUACCGGAGAAAUGCGUACAGAUCUGAAGGAAUACCCAGUGGCGAAAGGCGGCCCCCUGGACAAAAGACUGACGCUCAGAUGCGAAAGCGUGGGUUGCAAACAGGGAUUAGAUACCUGGUAGUCCACGCCGUAAACGCUGUCUACUUGGAGGUUGAGGUUUUAGACUUUGGCUUUCGGCGCAAACGCAUUAAGAAGACCGCCUGGGGAGUACGGCCGCAAGGUAAAAACUCAAAUGAAUUGACGGGGGCCCGCACAAGCGGUGGAGCAUGUGGUUUAAUUCGAUGCAACGCGAAGAACCUUACCUACUCUAGACAUCCAGCGAAUCCUUUAGAGAUAGAGGAGUGCCUUCGGGAGCGCAGAGACAGGUGCUGCAUGGCUGUCGUCAGCUCGUGUUGUGAAAUGUUGGGUUAUGUCCCGCAACGAGCGCAACCCUUAUCCUUGUUUGCCAGCACAUAUUGGUGGGAACUCCAGGGAGACUGCCGGUCAUAUACCGGAGGAAGGUGGGGACGACGUCAAGUCAUCAUGGCCCUUACGAGUAGGGCUACACACG